Molecule: long non-coding RNA, 487 nt
Filed under: Lathyrus oleraceus (garden pea)
Lineage: Eukaryota; Viridiplantae; Streptophyta; Magnoliopsida; Fabales; Fabaceae
Description: Pisum sativum (pea) long non-coding RNA (PSAT_LNC000873)
Source: RNAcentral
CCACAUUCAGAUAAGGAGUAUCUCAGGUGUAAUACAGGAACGCCAAAAGUCUAAAAACACAGGCAUUAAUCUAACCAAAAAUAUCCAUAAAUGUCCUUUAUAAAUCCUUGAUGCACAGGGAUUUAAAGUCCGUUUUUAGAAGAAAAGAAUUUGAACUGUUAUAAAAUGAAACCAAACAGACAUGUGUCCUACACAAAUUUACCAGAGGUGAACAAUAACAGCAUGAUGAACAAGUCAAUGAACUCAAAGUAUUACCGGUUGGAUUUUCUGUAUCGGUGGAGGAUUACUCAGCAGCAAUCAUUGGCGUACUGGAUAGUGGUGUUCGUGACCUGUGGGAUCUAUCCGCACGCGAAGAAAAACCGGAAAAAACUUGAGAUUGUUUUCCCCUGUUCUUACUUGGUUCUUGAAAUCACUAUGGCUCCAAAGCUCACAAUGAUAGACUCCAAACCUUCCCUGUAAACUUCAAAUAUUUCCAAAAGCAACAAAU